This 71-nucleotide transfer RNA is filed under the name Dipodomys ordii (Ord's kangaroo rat). It matches the Rfam family "tRNA". From Rfam's summary of the family: Transfer RNA (tRNA) molecules are approximately 80 nucleotides in length. Their secondary structure includes four short double-helical elements and three loops (D, anti-codon, and T loops). Lineage: Eukaryota; Metazoa; Chordata; Mammalia; Rodentia; Heteromyidae. The record is from Rfam by way of RNAcentral.
UGGGAUGUAGCUCAGUGGCAAAGCGCUUGCCUAGCAAGUGCAACGGUCCUGGGUUCAAUCCCCAGUACCAA